RNAcentral lists this transfer RNA (51 nucleotides) under Pholcus gomerae. RNAcentral's name for it is "partial tRNA-Leu". RNAcentral also lists the same sequence under 1 other name. Lineage: Eukaryota; Metazoa; Arthropoda; Arachnida; Araneae; Pholcidae. The record is from RNAcentral.
CAACUUAAUGGCGGACAAUCGCACUAAACUUAGAAUUUAACCAUGCUCCAU